CUUGAGAUGGGAUGUGUUCCCUUUGCAUCUACCGCCCUCCCAUUUGUUUUCCCCACCCCUUCUAGUUUCUCCUAUAAACUUUGUAGCCUGAGUGUCUACUUCCAACAUUUUCCUGCUGUUUCACACUUUACCUUAUAUUUGAAAGGACUGCUUCCUCCUUCAGCUGCCAUUCUACGGCACCACAAGAACGCAAUAAUAGCACCACCAUCCCCGUCCGUCCAUUCCUCUCACUGCCACUAGUCUACAGUCUUGAUCAGGAUGGAGAGGGUGCAGCACAUGACACGCUCAGCCAUCCGGAGGGCAUCCAACAUCGAAGUGAACCCGCAGACCAAACGCAACCUACAAGAUCUCAUCAUCAACUUCUCCCUCAUCCUCAUCUGCCUGCUGCUCAUCUACAUCAUCGUCUUGCUCAUGUGACACCAAAAGAUGACAACCGGCCAAUCACAAGAUGCACUGCACGAGACCUUGGACAAUUUUGGGGAAUUGAAAAUGUCCUACUAAUGAUGCAACACAUGUCAAUUUCCUGAAAUUAUAUGAGGGCGGCACAGAUUUUUCUCUAUUUAUGUUUGCUGCGUUCUUCUUAUAACAAUAAGCAUUUCUGACCUUUGAAUGAGUACAAGUCUCAUUUUGUUCAUAUAUAUAUUUUGUCAUUUAUAUAUAUAAAACAUACAAAAAUAGGUAAAUCAGAUAUGUUUUGUAUAUGAAUGUAGACCUCACAGAAUGAAGCAGACAUCUGCACUGGUGUAGUUCACAAAAACACAAAGAAUUAACAUCAAAAUGGCUGAAAUUUCAGGCAAAAGUAUAGCUCCCAACAGCAAACAGCAAUUCCUUCCAAGUGCCAAGUCAUUUAUGUAAAUAUUCCCCCCAAAAUAUCGUAAUUGUUGUGUUGAAAUGCAAAAUUUAUAGGUCAGUCCCAGAAAUCAUAUAUUAUUCACAGAGGAACAGAGCAUUGGCACCGAGGUAAAUUACGCUUGCACGCUUAACAUAUUAAUGUUUGUUUACACUUCCUGUGAACAUGAUCUGAGAGAGAGAGCUAAAAUGGGGCAUUUAAGGAUGUUUUUAAAUGUGGACAACCAAUAAAGAGAAUGUUUGUUUUAAAUGUUCUAACUGACUGAAUUUUUUAAAAGUACUGUAUCUGAAGUCUCUUUCCCGAAAUUCAGCCUUGGUGCAGAAUUUCAGCCACUACGAGCCAGUCCCACAAUGAGCUUUCCUUAGGACGUGCCAUUUCUGUGUCUGUAGCUUUAAAUGCUAAUGAGGAGGAGAGAGGCGGGGCAACUGCCAUGUUUCGCUCGUUUGCAAGCCAUGAUGUCUCUCGAGGGAAAAAAAAUAUUGCGCUC
This 1337-nucleotide long non-coding RNA is filed under the name Sinocyclocheilus anshuiensis. Its description in RNAcentral is "lncRNA (ENSSANG00000048759.1)". Lineage: Eukaryota; Metazoa; Chordata; Actinopteri; Cypriniformes; Cyprinidae. The record is from RNAcentral.